GUUGAAACACCGGUUCCCGUACGAUCACCGAAAUUAAGCAACGUCGAACCUGGUCAUUACCAUGAUGAGUGACCGCUUGGGAAUACCAGGUGCCGUAAG
This is a non-coding RNA of Acanthosepion pharaonis, 99 nucleotides long. The record is from the annotation of a GenBank genome assembly. Lineage: Eukaryota; Metazoa; Mollusca; Cephalopoda; Sepiida; Sepiidae.